UACGUAGGGACCGAGCGUUGUCCGGAAUCAUUGGGCGUAAAGAGCGUGUAGGCGGCCAAUUAAGUCCUGCGUGAAAUCUCGGGGCUCAACCCCGAGCGGUCGUGGGAAACUGGUUGGCUAGAGUGCGGGAGAGGAGAGUGGAAUUCCUGGUGUAGCGGUGAAAUGCGCAGAUAUCAGGAGGAACACCGGUGGCGAAGGCGGCAUCCUGGACCGGCAUUGACGCUGAGGCGCGAAAGCUAGGGGAGCAAACGGG
This 253-nucleotide ribosomal RNA is filed under the name uncultured bacterium. Its description in RNAcentral is "partial 16S ribosomal RNA". It matches the Rfam family "Bacterial small subunit ribosomal RNA", at positions 524 to 776 of the family's 1533-position model. The record is from RNAcentral.